UACGAAGGGGGCAAGCGUUGUUCGGAAUUACUGGGCGUAAAGGGCGCGUAGGCGGCCGAUCAAGUCAGGCGUGAAAUCCCCAGGCUCAACCUGGGAACUGCGUCCGAUACUGGAUGGCUUGAAUCCGGGAGAGGGAUGCAGAAUUCCAGGUGUAGCGGUGAAAUGCGUAGAUAUCUGGAGGAAUACCGGUGGCGAAGGCGGCAUCCUGGACCGGCAUUGACGCUGAGGAGCGAAAGCCAGGGGAGCAAACGGG
Molecule: ribosomal RNA, 253 nt
Filed under: uncultured bacterium
Lineage: Bacteria
Description: partial 16S ribosomal RNA
Rfam family: Bacterial small subunit ribosomal RNA
Source: RNAcentral